Molecule: long non-coding RNA, 349 nt
Filed under: Homo sapiens (human)
Lineage: Eukaryota; Metazoa; Chordata; Mammalia; Primates; Hominidae
Description: HSALNT0399296
Source: RNAcentral
GUAGACACAGCCUUUGCUCUCCCGAAAAACACGUUCUAGGCGCCGGGAUUCCAGAUACCUGGGAAAUAGAGUGCACGCAGCUGUUGAGAGGCCUCGCGCUUGGCUUCUCCUAUCACUGAGGCGCAGAGGUGCUGUGGACAGCCCAGACCCACACGGCGCCCGAGGUGAAACAGAACCCUCAGUCUCCCUAUGAGGCCACUGGCACUCUCGGCUGUCCCCAGAGCUCUCCGACUUAGAGCUGAAUGCAAAGUAAGCGCUCGAAAUGCAGAAGUAGCCGGGGCCGCCCACGGCACCUGCCUCGCUCGGGGCGAGAGAAGACGCCAGGCUGAGGUCCCAGCGACCUCAGGCA